UACGGAGGGUGCGAGCGUUGUUCGGAAUUACUGGGCGUAAAGGGCGUGUAGGCGGGUAUAUAAGUCAGAUGUGAAAUACCUUAGCUUAACUAAGGAAGUGCAUCUGAAACUGUAUAUCUUGAGUACGAUAGAGGAGAGUGGAAUUCCCAGUGUAGAGGUGAAAUUCAUAGAUAUUGGGAAGAACACCGGUGGCGAAGGCGGCUCUCUGGAUCGAUACUGACGCUGAUACGCGAAAGCGUGGGGAGCAAACAGG
This 253-nucleotide ribosomal RNA is filed under the name uncultured bacterium. RNAcentral's name for it is "partial 16S ribosomal RNA". It matches the Rfam family "Bacterial small subunit ribosomal RNA", at positions 524 to 776 of the family's 1533-position model. The record is from RNAcentral.